GUGUUCCCUCUAGCUUCUGAGGGAAACAGACACGUCUCUGUCUCCAAGAAACAAUUCUUCACUUUCUGCUUGCUUAUUCUGCGCUUGCCUGGUGGUGAUCCCGCACACGGAAGCAGAGGACAAUGGAAGGUCUCCAGUAAUUAACAUCGCCCUGAGGUGGGGCUGGCCGGUCCCAACUCCAUGGAUGCGCCAGCCCCGGAGCACCCAUCAGUAGCCCUGCCGGUCAGCUCCUCCCUACACCUCCCGUCCACCGUCGAUCAGCUGCUCAGGCAUGAGGAGGAAAGGCAGACGAUAACUGACGGGCACUGAAUGCCAUGCAGCUAGAGGAAAACAGAGAAAGCAUCUGGUGCAAGACAAAGUCGCUUUGCUGAUGAAGCAAAACCUCCCUAAAAAGAGUUGUUUCUCUUUGAUUUUCAAAUAUCCACAGUAAUUCUUUUCCCCUCCAUCCUUUGUUUGCUGACUGUUGUUUUUUAACGAUCCGUCCUCAUUGAAACCAUUGAUGCAUCUCAGAUGUCCUUUGUCCCCAGAGGCAAACCAUUUUGCUCGCAGCGUGGUGAGUUUUAAUCAUUUUCCUUUUAUCGAAAUAGCCGCAUUCUGGAUGGGCUGCCUGACAAACGGCUGCAAAAUGGAUCACUUCCGAGUUCAGCUCCUGCCAGCCUACCCCCACAAUCAGCAGACCCAGACCACACAUCCAUCACGGGCCUCUGAAUAAGCCCAAUCCACUCCGGAUAGUAAUUUACAAAUACAACAAAAGGAGGCCGGACACCUGCUCGACACCCAGACAGGAUUUUGGUUACUUUAUUGCCAG
This is a non-coding RNA of Pelodiscus sinensis (Chinese soft-shelled turtle), 808 nucleotides long. Lineage: Eukaryota; Metazoa; Chordata; Testudines; Trionychidae. The record is from RefSeq and is a predicted model, not a curated record.